This is a long non-coding RNA of Salvelinus sp. IW2-2015, 530 nucleotides long. RefSeq lists it as uncharacterized. NCBI's taxonomy places the organism in Eukaryota, Metazoa, Chordata, Actinopteri, Salmoniformes, Salmonidae. The record is from RefSeq and is a predicted model, not a curated record.
CAACGGCACGAAAACGAUGUGCGCUCUUCCAUGGGGCAGAAGUCAGCGUGUUGUUGUGAUUCUGGAUGGUCAGAUAGCUAGCACCAAUGACAAGAAACUGCCAUGUGGGGAAUCAGUCCCCAGCUGCAGAAAGGCCUACAGUUCCUCCCCCUGAUGAUAGAAAGAAAGAGAUUCCUGGUCAGCUUUGGCAUCUCAACACAGCUCCUUUCCUGACAAUAGGGGCAAGUCUUCAAAAUGUUCCACUAGUGCUCUCUGGUGGCUGAGGUAAUUAAGUGUACUGUAAGAGUGGACGUAAAUCAGGUGGAAUCCACAGAUGGACCCACUCUGUCACUCAGGCCAGCUACAGUUACAGGCAUGGUGAGUAGUGGGAGAAGAGAAGGCCAAGCUACAGGCAUGGUGAGCAGUGGGAGAAGAGAAGGCCAAGCUACAGGCAUGGUGAGCAGUGGUAGAAGAGAAGGCCAAGCUACAGGCAUGGUGAGCAGUGAGAGAAGAGAAGGCCAAGCUACAGGCAUGGUGAGCAGUGGGAGAAG